RNAcentral lists this ribosomal RNA (497 nucleotides) under uncultured bacterium. RNAcentral describes it as "partial 16S ribosomal RNA". It matches the Rfam family "Bacterial small subunit ribosomal RNA", at positions 28 to 507 of the family's 1533-position model. The record is from RNAcentral.
GAUGAACGCUGGCGGCGUGUCUAAUACAUGCAAGUCGAGCGAACAGACGAGGUGUUUGUUUCUCUGACGUUAGCGGUGGACGUGUUAGUAACAUGUGGAUAACACACCUAUAAUACUGUGAUAACCUCGGGACACCGGAGCUAAUACCGGAUAACAUGUUCAACCGCAAGGCUCAACAGUCCAAGACGGGUUUGCUGUCACUUAUUGAUGGCAUCCCCCCGCAUUAGCUAGUUGGUAAGGUAACGGCUUACCAAGGCAACCAUGCGUACCCGACCUGAUAGGGUGAUGAGCCAAGCUAGAACUGAAACACGGUCCAGACGCCUACGGUAGGAAGCAGUAGGGAAUCUUCCGCAAAAGGCGAAAACCUGACGGAGCAACGCCGCGUGAAUGAAGAAGGUCUUCAGAUCGUAAAACUCUGUUAUUAGGAAAGAACAAAUGUGUAAGUAACUGUGCACGUCUUGACGGUACCGAAUCAGAAAGCCACGGCUAACUGCGUG